This 464-nucleotide ribosomal RNA is filed under the name uncultured bacterium. RNAcentral's name for it is "partial 16S ribosomal RNA". It matches the Rfam family "Bacterial small subunit ribosomal RNA", at positions 29 to 523 of the family's 1533-position model. The record is from RNAcentral.
AACGAACGCUGGCGGCAUGCUUAACACAUGCAAGUUGAACGCAGGAUAGGACUUCGGUUCUAUUGCUGAGUAGCAAACGGGUGAGUAACGCGUGGGAAUCUACCUUUUUGUGGGGGAUAACUGAGGGAAACUUCAGCUAAUACCGCAUAAGCUCUACGGAGGAAAGGCUUCGGCCGCAAGAAGAGGAGCCCGCGUCAGAUUAGGUAGUUGGUAGGGUAAAAGCCUACCAAGCCGAUGAUCUGUAGCUGGUCUGAGAGGAUGAUCAGCCACACUGGGACUGAGACACGGCCCAGACUCCUACGGGAGGCAGCAGUGGGGAAUAUUGGACAAUGGGGGAAACCCUGAUCCAGCAAUGCCGCGUGAAUGAAGAAGGCCUUAGGGUUGUAAAGUUCUUUCACCUGUGAAGAUUAUGACGGUAGCAGGAGAAGAAGCCCCGGCUAACUCUGUGCCAGCCGCCGCCGUAA